This 251-nucleotide ribosomal RNA is filed under the name uncultured Gigaspora. Its description in RNAcentral is "partial 18S ribosomal RNA". Lineage: Eukaryota; Fungi; Glomeromycota; Glomeromycetes; Diversisporales; Gigasporaceae. The record is from RNAcentral.
CCCAACUAUCCCUAUUAAUCAUUACGGUGAUUCAGAAACCAACAAAACAGGACCACCGUCCUAUUCUAUUAUUCCAUGCUAAUGUAUUCAGACAUAAGCCUGCUUUGAACACUCUAAUUUUUUCAAGGUAAAGGUCCUGGUUUCCCACCACGUUAAAUUAAUAACAUGAUGGUUCCCCAGAAGGUAGAAAUUCUACACGUCAGUACAGACAAAGCCCGACCAACGGUAGAACCCCGAAAUUCAACUACGAG